GACGAACGCUGGCGGCGUGCUUAACACAUGCAAGUCGAACGGAAAGGCCCUGCUUUUGUGGGGUGCUCGAGUGGCGAACGGGUGAGUAACACGUGAGUAACCUGCCCUUGACUUUGGGAUAACUUCAGGAAACUGGGGCUAAUACCGGAUAGGAGCUCCUGCUGCAUGGUGGGGGUUGGAAAGUUUCGGCGGUUGGGGAUGGACUCGCGGCUUAUCAGCUUGUUGGUGGGGUAGUGGCUUACCAAGGCUUUGACGGGUAGCCGGCCUGAGAGGGUGACCGGCCACAUUGGGCCUGCGAUACGGCCCAGACUCCUACGGUAGGCAGCGGUGGGGAAUAUUGCACAAUGGGCGGAAGCCUGAUGCAGCAACGCCGCGUGCGGGAUGACGGCCUUCGGGUUGUGAACCGCUUUCGCCUGUGACGAAGCGUGAGUGACGGUAAUGGGUAAAGAAGCACCGGCUAACUACGUG
RNAcentral lists this ribosomal RNA (468 nucleotides) under uncultured bacterium. Its description in RNAcentral is "partial 16S ribosomal RNA". It matches the Rfam family "Bacterial small subunit ribosomal RNA", at positions 28 to 507 of the family's 1533-position model. The record is from RNAcentral.